Molecule: ribosomal RNA, 125 nt
Filed under: Goffeauzyma gastrica
Lineage: Eukaryota; Fungi; Basidiomycota; Tremellomycetes; Filobasidiales; Filobasidiaceae
Description: partial small subunit ribosomal RNA
Rfam family: Eukaryotic small subunit ribosomal RNA
Source: RNAcentral
CCUUUGUACACACCGCCCGUCGCUACUACCGAUUGAAUGGCUUAGUGAGAUCUCCGGAUUGGCUUUGAGAAGCUGGCAACGGCUCUUCAUUGCUGAGAAGCUGAUCAAACUUGGUCAUUUAGAGG